This 869-nucleotide ribosomal RNA is filed under the name uncultured archaeon. Its description in RNAcentral is "bacterial SSU rRNA". It matches the Rfam family "Archaeal small subunit ribosomal RNA", at positions 1 to 878 of the family's 1478-position model. The record is from RNAcentral.
CUCCGGUUGAUCCUGCCGGACCUGACUGCUAUCGGAUUGGUACUAAGCCAUGCGAGUCAUUGUAGCAAUACAAGGCGGACGGCUCAGUAACACGUAGUCAACCUAACUCGUGGACGUGGAUAACCUCGGGAAACUGAGAAUAAACCACGAUAGAUCAUAGUGCCUGGAAUGGCUUAUGGUCCAAACAGUUUACUGCCAUGGGAUGGGACUGCGGCCUAUCAGCUUGUUGGUGAGGUAAUGGCCCACCAAGGCUAUAACAGGUACGGGCUCUGAGAGGAGAAGCCCGGAGAUGGGUACUGAGACACGGACCCAGGCCCUAUGGGGCGCAGCAGGCGAGAAACCUUAGCAAUGUGCGAAAGCACGACUAGGUUAAUCCGAGUGAUUUCUGUUGAAGAAAUCUUUUGUCAGUCAUAAAACCGCAGACGAAUAAGGGGUGGGCAAGUCUGGUGUCAGCCGCCGCGGUAAUACCAGCACCUCGAGUGGUCAGGAGGUUUAUUGGGCCUAAAGCAUCCGUAGCCGGCUACGCAAGUCUCCGGUUAAAUCCAGCUGCUCAACAGAUGGGCUGCCGGAGAUACUACAUAGCUAGGGAGCGGGAGAGGUAGACGGUAUUCUGUGGGUAGGGGUAAAAUCCACUGAUCCAUAGAGGACCACCAGUGGCGAAGGCGGUCUACCAGAACGCGUUCGACGGUGAGGGAUGAAAGCUGGGGGAGCAAACCGGAUUAGAUACCCGGGUAGUCCCAGCUGUAAACGAUGCAAACUCGGUGAUGCAUUGGCUUAUGGCCAAUGCAGUGCCGCAGGGAAGCCGUUAAGUUUGCCGCCUCGGAAGUACGGACGCAAGUCUGAAACUUAAAAGAAUUGGCGGGGGAGCA